GAGCCCGUGGCUCAAUGGUAAGAGCGUUGGACUUCUGAUCAACAGGUCGCGGGUUCG
This 57-nucleotide transfer RNA is filed under the name Schistocephalus solidus. It matches the Rfam family "tRNA", at positions 1 to 55 of the family's 71-position model. From Rfam's summary of the family: Transfer RNA (tRNA) molecules are approximately 80 nucleotides in length. Their secondary structure includes four short double-helical elements and three loops (D, anti-codon, and T loops). Lineage: Eukaryota; Metazoa; Platyhelminthes; Cestoda; Diphyllobothriidea; Diphyllobothriidae. The record is from Rfam by way of RNAcentral.